Molecule: non-coding RNA, 113 nt
Organism: Acanthosepion pharaonis
Lineage: Eukaryota; Metazoa; Mollusca; Cephalopoda; Sepiida; Sepiidae
Source: the annotation of a GenBank genome assembly
UUACGGCCACAUCAUGUUGAAACACCGGUUCUUGUACGAUCACCAAAGUUAAGCAACAUCAAGCCUGGUCAAUACUUAGAUAGGUGACCACUUGGGGAAUAGCAGGUUCUGUA